UGUAGGAGUGAGCCUGCUCGCGAUAGCGGUGGUUCAGUCGACUUCUGAGUUGACUGGCACACCGCUAUCGCGAGCAGGCUCACUCCUACA
RNAcentral lists this non-coding RNA (90 nucleotides) under Pseudomonas sp. 29. Lineage: Bacteria; Pseudomonadati; Pseudomonadota; Gammaproteobacteria; Pseudomonadales; Pseudomonadaceae. The record is from RNAcentral.